UGUAGGUGUAAGUAUAAGUGUAGGUGUAGGAGUAGGUGUAGGUGUAAGUAUAAGUGUAGGAGUAGGUGUAGGUGUAAGUGUAGGUGUAGGUGUAAGUGUAGGUGUAAGUGUAGGUGUAAGUAUAAGUGUAGGUGUAGGAGUAGGUGUAGGUGUAGGUGUAAGUGUAGGUGUAGGUGUAAGUGUAGGUGUGAGUGUAGGUGUAAUUGUAAGUGUAGCUGUAGGUGUAAGUGUAAGUGUAGGUGUAAGUGUAGGUGUAGGUGUAAGUGUAGGUGUAAGUGUAGGUGUAGGUGUGAGUGUAGGUGUAAGUGUAGGUGUAAGUGUAGGUGUAAGUAUAAGUGUAGGUGUAGGUGUAAGUGUAGGUGUAGGAGUAGGUGUAGGUGUAAGUGUAGGUGUAGGAGUAGGUGUAGGUGUGAGUGUAGGUGUAAUUGUAAGUGUAGCUGUAGGUGUAAGUGUAAGUGUAGGUGUAGGUGUAGGUGUAGGAGUAGGUGUAGGUGUGAGUGUAGGUGUAAUUGUAAGUGUAGCUGUAGGUGUAAGUGUAGGUGUAAGUAUAAGUGUAGGUGUAGGUGUAGGUGUAAGUGUAGGAGUAGGUGUAGGUGUGAGUGUAGGUGUAAUUGUAAGUGUAGCUGUAGGUGUAGGUGUAGGUGUAAGUAUAAGUGUAGGUGUAGGUGUAGGAGUAGGUGUAAUUGUAAGUGUAGCUGUAGGUGUAGAUGUAAAUGUAGGAGUAUUUGUAG
Ictalurus punctatus (channel catfish) is the source of this 731-nucleotide long non-coding RNA. The record is from Ensembl. Lineage: Eukaryota; Metazoa; Chordata; Actinopteri; Siluriformes; Ictaluridae.